AUCAUAGCGAGAAGACUACAGGAUUCCCCUAGUAACGGCGAGUGAAGCGGGAAGAGCUCAAAUUUGUAAUCUGGCAGCCUCUGGCUGUCCGAGUUGUAGUCUGGAGAAGCAUUUUCCGUGCCAGACCAUGUACAAGUCCCUUGGAACAGGGCGUCGUAGAGGGUGAGAAUCCCGUCUUUGACAUGGACUACUGGUGCUCUGUGAUGUGCUCUCGAAGAGUCGAGUUGUUUGGGAAUGCAGCUCAAAAUGGGUGGUAAAUUCCAUCUAAAGCUAAAUAUGGGCAAAAGACCGAUAGUGAACAAGUACCGUGAGGGAAAGAUGAAAAGCACUUUGGAAAGAGAGUUAAACAGUAUGUGAAAUUGUUGAAAGGGAAACAUUUCAAGUCAGUCACGUCUUCUGAGACUCAGCCAGGUAAUUAACCURGUGCACUUCUCAGUGUGACGGGCCAGCAUCAAUUUCAAUUGUCAGAGAAAGGCUUGGGGAAGGUGGCACCUUUGGGUGUGUUAUAGCCCCUUGCUGUAUGUGAUAGUUGGGAUUGAGGACCGCAGCAUGCCUUCACAGGCCGGGGUUCGCCCACGUAACAUGCUUAGGAUGCUGGCGUAAUGGCUUCAAGUGACCCGUCUUGAAACACGGACCAAGGAGUCUAACAUGCCUGCGAGUGUUUGGGUGGUAAACCCGGACGCGCAAUGAAAGUGACAAGGUUGGGACCUCUGUUGUGGAGGGCACCGAUGCCCGGACUAGACCUUUUGUGACAGUUCCGAGGUAGAGCAUGUAUGUUGGGACCCGAAAGAUGGUGAACUAUGCUUGAGUAGGGUGAAGCCAGAGGAAACUCUGGUGGAGGCUCGUAGCGAUUCUGACGUGCAAAUCGAUCGUCAAACUUGGGUAUAGGGCGAAAGACUAAUC
RNAcentral lists this ribosomal RNA (903 nucleotides) under Austrogautieria costata. RNAcentral describes it as "partial large subunit ribosomal RNA". Lineage: Eukaryota; Fungi; Basidiomycota; Agaricomycetes; Hysterangiales; Gallaceaceae. The record is from RNAcentral.